AUUAUUUAAAUGAUGAUUUCAUAGUUCAACUGAUUGUUUUAAUGAUUAGUAACUAGCAUUUUGUCUUUCGCUCCUAUCUGAUAAAGAAA
Molecule: small nucleolar RNA, 89 nt
Organism: Onthophagus taurus
Lineage: Eukaryota; Metazoa; Arthropoda; Insecta; Coleoptera; Scarabaeidae
Product: small nucleolar RNA snR60/Z15/Z230/Z193/J17
Source: RefSeq, a predicted model, not a curated record